RNAcentral lists this long non-coding RNA (199 nucleotides) under Elaeis guineensis (African oil palm). RNAcentral describes it as "long non-coding RNA (EGUI_LNC023607)". Lineage: Eukaryota; Viridiplantae; Streptophyta; Magnoliopsida; Arecales; Arecaceae. The record is from RNAcentral.
CAUGGGCCAAUUUAAUUUGUUGAACUGCUUAGACCAUCCGUCAGAACAAAGACUUCAUUGGAGUCACGGAUCCAAAAACUUUCCUUUGUUAAAUCUCCGAGAAACUAUUUUAUAGGGAAGCAGGAAGAAAACUAGUAGGAGACAUGUGAGUAGUUUUAAAUUAUUGAGUAAUAAUCUUUCCUGAAUGAUUUAAUGCAUG